UAAUUAUUUUCCUCCUUUCUUCAUGUUUCUCUCUCUUUCUAUCUUGAUAAGAAAUUCAAUCAAAAUCUCAUCCCCUAAAGGCCUAAUUUCUCUUGCUAAUUGUCCAAACAUAAGUCUCUUUGUGAUGGAGAGAACUCAUGGUCGCUCAAUUGGUGUUCCAAGCUUGAUCUGCCCACAAGGUUGCAACAAAGCCACCAGCGUCUCUUUUGCCAAUGCCCAAGGAUGUUAAGGAUGAGGGAGACAAGGCUCUCUGUUGGACUCAUGAAUAGAUGCUGCUACAUGCAUUCUCAAAGCCCUAGCAGUUGGUUUUAAGGCCACAAGUUCCCAUCGAAAUCUAUCAAAUCCCUGGUAGCCUCUUCAUCUUUUUCUACCCAUAGUACAUUGUAUCUGAUUGCUAUUCAAUGGAUGUAAAAGCUCAUAGACAAAAAUGGGUUGAUGAUUUAAAUGAAGAUGUUAUUGCAAAAUCACAAAAUUCAGGUUUGAUUUGGAAUAUGGAUGGUACUUCCAAGACUAUGGUGAGAAUGCAACUAUGAUAGGGCUUUGAAAACAACUAUGUUGUUCUCAUGAGACUUGGAUUCUUUGAUGACAUCUCUUCACUUGUAGUGUUUGACAUAUAGGUGGAAAAUUACCUUUUACAUAGUACACUAGUGACUACAUAGACAAUUUGCCCAUGAAUUCCAUGUCCCUAAGGCCACUUCCAGAAUUUGGCUAACCUGGAAGGCCUUAUAAGUUCUUCAAUGGUGAAAACCUUUAUCCUUUUAUUUAUAGCCUCAGCUACACUCGGUUCAAAUACUCAAUGGUAUCUUCUGCUCGCGCACUUCAACUGAAAUUAAGAAGGCUCCAACAUUGCUGUGAUCUCACUUAUGAGGCUUACACUGCCGUCCAUGGAGAACAUGAUUGUGGUUGGAGAUGUAGAGCUCUUUUUACCAGUUCAAAUCAAUAUUGGCUUACCACAACUAGAUGGUUACUUAGAUCGUUUAGGUUAGCUUAAGUUCUUAUUAUUAUUUUUUUCUCUAACUCCAGUAAUAGUUAGGAGUGGUUAUUUGUUCUUGAGUUCCUUAGUUUAAUCCUUUGUUACUGUGAUACAAUAUGAUGGGAUUGAGUUUCUUAGUAAUUAAACAUUAACUUUGAUAUUUACAAUCAAGUAUUUCAGGGUUUUAAUCACAUUUUCAUCCUACUUUCUCCAUUUUCUUGUUUUCAUAUACUAGAGUUGGUAUAUAUGGGAUGGCAGAGCUUAUUGAUUGAGUUCCUUAAUCCAUUUUAUUGUUUUCAUCCUACUCUCUCUCUCUCUCUCUCUCUC
Long non-coding RNA from Macadamia integrifolia, 1300 nucleotides. RefSeq lists it as uncharacterized. The record is from RefSeq and is a predicted model, not a curated record. The transcript is spliced from 3 exons. Lineage: Eukaryota; Viridiplantae; Streptophyta; Magnoliopsida; Proteales; Proteaceae.